RNAcentral lists this long non-coding RNA (931 nucleotides) under Nicotiana benthamiana. RNAcentral's name for it is "long non-coding RNA (NBEN_LNC002591)". The record is from RNAcentral. Lineage: Eukaryota; Viridiplantae; Streptophyta; Magnoliopsida; Solanales; Solanaceae.
GUCAUCGAACCAAAAUCAAUCUGAGGUUCACCAUGAAAUAAAUUCAUGCUAAACAGAGGCAAAGACAGCGUAGUGUCUCCUCUCCCCCUGGCUAAGCACCCUGUCCAUCUACCCCUAACAGAACUAAAACGCUAAAGCUAGCGCUCUCUAUCUCUCUCUAUGAUACACACAUACGCACCCCUCCUUUCCGGCCAAUUUAUCCACAACUAAAGACAAACUUAAAACUAUUAUGAAAAUGGAUCAUGCAAAUGGUCAUAAAGACAAAACUUAUCUAUUUGCAAACAUAAAUGCAGAAAGCUAGAGCUACCAUAAACAUAAUCUUCCUUGAAGGUUCAGUGUUCACAUAACGUAGCUCCCUCUAAGGAUUAGGUUAAAAAUUUCACAAUUUACCUCCUCUGAUGGCAUGUAUCAAUAGAUGUCAGAAUUCCAACAGAAUACAAGAACAUGUGAAGCUAAGUCCAAAAAAGAUGGCCAACGGGCAGAAUUAAGGUCAACACCAAUUUUCAAGCGUGAAAAUCAACAAAUAGGAAAUCUAUUACAUAAGUUUUAACCUUUAAUCCGCCACCUAACAGAUAAACAUGAAUAAAAUGUAGUAGUAACAAACAAGUAAAGGAAUUGAAUACAGAUCUAAAAAUUGGAAAUUACAGAUUCAAUCUAGAUCUACAAUCUAGAUACAAAAUUUCUAAGUAUUCCCUGCAACACCCGACGCCACAACUAGUUUUUCUACCAAAGAAAUAUUACAGUUCAACUAAAUUGAAUAAUUGAUUCACAUCAAAUUUAGAAGCUCCACAAACCAACCUCAUAUUCGUGUUACCAAACGUGAUCCGACUAGACACGAGCAGCAACAGCCGGAGCAGCGGCAGCCGCGGCAGAGGAGGCAGCACCACCGAGGAACGAAAGGAAUCCAACGUUGCCCGGCUCUUGAUCAUCA